RNAcentral lists this transfer RNA (40 nucleotides) under Apocynaceae sp. ITV3730. Its description in RNAcentral is "partial tRNA-His". The record is from RNAcentral. Lineage: Eukaryota; Viridiplantae; Streptophyta; Magnoliopsida; Gentianales; Apocynaceae.
CACAAUCCACUGCCUUGAUCCACUUGGCUACAUCCGCCCC